UUCUGGCUCAGGAUGAACGGCUGGCGGCGUGCCUAACACAUGCAAGUCGAGCGAUUACUUCGGUAAAGAGCGGCGGACGAGUGAGUAACGCGUGGGUAACCUGCCUCGAUACACAUGGAUAACAUACCGAAAGGUAUGCUAAUACAAGGAUAAUAUAAGAGAUUCACAUGGAUUUCUUAUCAAAGCUCCGGCGGUAUGAGAUGGACCCGCGUCUGGAUUAGCUAGUUGGUAAGGUAAUGGCUUACCAAGGCGACGAUCAGUAGCCGACCUGAGAGGGUGAUCGGCCACAUUGGAACUGAGACACGGUCCAAACUCCUACGGGAGGCAGCAGCGGGGAAUAUUGCACAAUGGGCGAAAGCCUGAUGCAAGCAACGCCGCGUGAGUGAUGAAGGCCUUCGGGUCGUAAAACUCUGUCCUCAAGGAAGAUAAUGACGGUACUUGAGGAGGAAGCCCCGGCUAACUACGUGCCAGCAGCAGC
This 478-nucleotide ribosomal RNA is filed under the name uncultured bacterium. Its description in RNAcentral is "bacterial SSU rRNA". It matches the Rfam family "Bacterial small subunit ribosomal RNA", at positions 17 to 518 of the family's 1533-position model. The record is from RNAcentral.